This 447-nucleotide ribosomal RNA is filed under the name uncultured bacterium. RNAcentral's name for it is "partial 16S ribosomal RNA". It matches the Rfam family "Bacterial small subunit ribosomal RNA", at positions 29 to 523 of the family's 1533-position model. The record is from RNAcentral.
AACGAACGCUGGCGGCAGGCUUAACGCAUGCACGUCGAGCGCCCCGCAAGGGGAGCGGCAGACGGGUGAGUAACGCGUGGGAAUCUACCGUGCCCUACGGAAUAGCUCCGGGAAACUGGAAUUAAUACCGUAUACGCCCUACGGGGGAAAGAUUUAUCGGGGUAUGAUGAGCCCGCGUUGGAUUAGCUAGUUGGUGGGGUAAAGGCCUACCAAGGCGACGAUCCAUAGCUGGUCUGAGAGGAUGAUCAGCCACAUUGGGACUGAGACACGGCCCAAACUCCUACGGGAGGCAGCAGUGGGUAAUAUUGGACAAUGGGCGCAAGCCUGAUCCAGCCAUGCCGCGUGAGUGAUGAAGGUCUUAGGAUUGUAAAGCUCUUUCACCGGUGAAGAUAAUGACGGUAACCGGAGAAGAAGCCCCGGCUAACUUCGUGCCAGCCGCCGCAGUAA